AGGGAAUAUUGCACAAUGGAGGAAACUCUGAUGCAGCGACGCCGCGUGAGUGAUGAAGGACUUCGGUUCGUAAAGCUCUGUCGUAUGGGAAUAAUAAAGUGAAUGUACCAUGCAAGAAAGGAUCGGCUAACUUCGUGCCAGCAGCCGCGGUAAGACGAGGGAUCCUAGCGUUGUUCGGAAUCAUUGGGCGUAAAGCGGGCGCAGGUGGCUUUGUAAGUCAGGUGUGAAAGCCCAGGGCUCAACCCUGGAAGUGCAUUUGAUACUGCAAAGCUUGAGUGCUAGAGAGGUGAGUAGAAUACCUGGUGUAGUGGUGAAAUACGUAGAUAUCAGGUGGAAUACCGGAGGCGAAGGCGGCUCACUGGCUAGACACUGACACUCAUGCCCGAAAGUGUGGGGAUCAAAC
Molecule: ribosomal RNA, 403 nt
Filed under: uncultured bacterium
Lineage: Bacteria
Description: bacterial SSU rRNA
Rfam family: Bacterial small subunit ribosomal RNA
Source: RNAcentral